GACGUAGGGCGCAAGCGUUGUCCGGAAUUAUUGGGCGUAAAGGGCUCGUAGGCGGUCCGUCACGUCGGGAGUGAAAACUCGGGGCUCAACCCCGAGCCUGCUUCCGAUACGGGCGGACUAGAGGUAGGUAGGGGAGAACGGAAUUCCUGGUGUAGCGGUGGAAUGCGCAGAUAUCAGGAGGAACACCGGUGGCGAAGGCGGUUCUCUGGGCCUUACCUGACGCUGAGGAGCGAAAGCGUGGGGAGCGAACAGG
This 253-nucleotide ribosomal RNA is filed under the name uncultured bacterium. RNAcentral's name for it is "partial 16S ribosomal RNA". It matches the Rfam family "Bacterial small subunit ribosomal RNA", at positions 524 to 776 of the family's 1533-position model. The record is from RNAcentral.